GUUUUAAUAGUUUAAACAAAAACUUUGGUCUUGUAAACCAAUAAUGAAUCUUCUUUUCUUAAAACU
This 66-nucleotide transfer RNA is filed under the name Tubuca capricornis. RNAcentral's name for it is "tRNA-Thr". It matches the Rfam family "tRNA". From Rfam's summary of the family: Transfer RNA (tRNA) molecules are approximately 80 nucleotides in length. Their secondary structure includes four short double-helical elements and three loops (D, anti-codon, and T loops). Further hydrogen bonds mediate the characteristic L-shaped molecular structure. tRNAs have two regions of fundamental functional importance: the anti-codon, which is responsible for specific mRNA codon recognition, and the 3' end, to which the tRNAs corresponding amino acid is attached (by aminoacyl-tRNA synthetases). tRNAs cope with the degeneracy of the genetic code in two manners: having more than one tRNA (with a specific anti-codon) for a particular amino acid; and 'wobble' base-pairing, i.e. permitting non-standard base-pairing at the 3rd anti-codon position. Lineage: Eukaryota; Metazoa; Arthropoda; Malacostraca; Decapoda; Ocypodidae. The record is from RNAcentral.